RNAcentral lists this ribosomal RNA (451 nucleotides) under uncultured bacterium. Its description in RNAcentral is "bacterial SSU rRNA". It matches the Rfam family "Bacterial small subunit ribosomal RNA", at positions 340 to 783 of the family's 1533-position model. The record is from RNAcentral.
UACGGAAGGCAGCAGUGGGGAAUAUUGCACAAUGGGCGCAAGCCUGAUGCAGCCAUGCCGCGUGUAUGAAGAAGGCCUUCGGGUUGUAAAGUACUUUCAGUCGUGAGGAAGGUGUUAAGGUUAAUAACCUUAGCAAUUGACGUUAGCGACAGAGGAAGCACCGGCUAACUCCGUGCCAGCAGCCGCGGUAAUACGGAGGGUGCGAGCGUUAAUCGGAAUUACUGGGCGUAAAGGGCACGCAGGCGGUUAAUUAAGUUGGAUGUGAAAUCCCCGGGCUUAACCUGGGAAUGGCAUUCAAGACUGGUUAGCUAGAGUCUUGUAGAGGGGGUAGAAUUCCAUGUGUAGCGGUGAAAUGCGUAGAGAUGUGGAGGAAUACCGGUGGCGAAGGCGGCCCCUGGACAAAGACUGACGCUCAUGUGCGAAAGCGUGGGGAGCGAAACAGGGAUUAGAU